GUUUGAUCCUGGCUCAGAUUGAACGCUGGCGGCAUGCCUUACACAUGCAAGUCGAACGGCAGCACGGGUGCUUGCACCUGGUGGCGAGUGGCGAACGGGUGAGUAAUACAUCGGAACAUGUCCUGUAGUGGGGGAUAGCCCGGCGAAAGCCGGAUUAAUACCGCAUACGAUCUACGGAUGAAAGCGGGGGACCUUCGGGCCUCGCGCUAUAGGGUUGGCCGAUGGCUGAUUAGCUAGUUGGUGGGGUAAAGGCCUACCAAGGCGACGAUCAGUAGCUGGUCUGAGAGGACGACCAGCCACACUGGGACUGAGACACGGCCCAGACUCCUACGGGAGGCAGCAGUGGGGAAUUUUGGACAAUGGGCGAAAGCCUGAUCCAGCAAUGCCGCGUGUGUGAAGAAGGCCUUCGGGUUGUAAAGCACUUUUGUCCGGAAAGAAAUCCUUGGCUCUAAUACAGUCGGGGGAUGACGGUACCGGAAGAAUAAGCACCGGCUAACUACGUGCCAGCAGCCGCGGUAAUACGUAGGGUGCGAGCGUUAAUCGGAAUUACUGGGCGUAAAGCGUGCGCAGGCGGUUUGCUAAGACCGAUGUGAAAUCCCCGGGCUCAACCUGGGAACUGCAUUGGUGACUGGCAGGCUAGAGUAUGGCAGAGGGGGGUAGAAUUCCACGUGUAGCAGUGAAAUGCGUAGAGAUGUGGAGGAAUACCGAUGGCGAAGGCAGCCCCCUGGGCCAAUACUGACGCUCAUGCACGAAAGCGUGGGGAGCAAACAGGAUUAGAUACCCUGGUAGUCCACGCCCUAAACGAUGUCAACUAGUUGUUGGGGAUUCAUUUCCUUAGUAACGUAGCUAACGCGUGAAGUUGACCGCCUGGGGAGUACGGUCGCAAGAUUAAAACUCAAAGGAAUUGACGGGGACCCGCACAAGCGGUGGAUGAUGUGGAUUAAUUCGAUGCAACGCGAAAAACCUUACCUACCCUUGACAUGGUCGGAAUCCCGCUGAGAGGUGGGAGUGCUCGAAAGAGAACCGGCGCACAGGUGCUGCAUGGCUGCCGUCAGCUCGUGUCGUGAGAUGUUGGGUUAAGUCCCGCAACGAGCGCAACCCUUGUCCUUAGUUGCUACGCAAGAGCACUCUAAGGAGACUGCCGGUGACAAACCGGAGGAAGGUGGGGAUGACGUCAAGUCCUCAUGGCCCUUAUGGGUAGGGCUUCACACGUCAUACAAUGGUCGGAACAGAGGGUUGCCAACCCGCGAGGGGGAGCUAAUCCCAGAAAACCGAUCGUAGUCCGGAUUGCACUCUGCAACUCGAGUGCAUGAAGCUGGAAUCGCUAGUAAUCGCGGAUCAGCAUGCCGCGGUGGAUACGUUCCCGGGUCUUGUACACACCGCCCGUCACACCAUGGGAGUGGGUUUUACCAGAAGUGGCUAGUCUAACCGCAAGGAGGACGGUCACCACGGUAGGAUUCAUGACUGGGGUGAAGUCGUAACAAGGUAGCC
This 1491-nucleotide ribosomal RNA is filed under the name uncultured bacterium. Its description in RNAcentral is "bacterial SSU rRNA". It matches the Rfam family "Bacterial small subunit ribosomal RNA". The record is from RNAcentral.